CUUUUAUUCACAGAGUGACUUUUGUUAUCAGGCAGACCAAGGAAAGUGUGUCAGCGCCACAAAAAUAGCCUCAGGGACUCUUUGUUUUCUCUUUUUCUUUGCUAAAAUAUACUUUUACUCCUAACAAUUCAUGUAGUCUGGUUUGAAUUAGCACUAAAAUGAGGUAAUGCGAUGUGCUCACUCUCAAAAUUCAGAUUCUAACGCUAUGAGGACAUUUUUGCCAUCGCGCUAAUACUCCAAAGAAAUCAGACAAAAAUUUUCUGGUUUCUUCAAUCACACCAAGUCGUCCAGGUCCUGAAAGUGUAAAGAAGCCUCAAACUAUCACUCUUCCAUGACCAUGCUUGACAGUGGUAUGAUGAAAGACAAGUCUUGAAGUUGUGUAUGGGCAACAGUUUUUUUCACCUUGGAAUCUGCCAUGGAUGCCAUUUUUACCUAGUCUCUUACGGAUUUUUGAGUCAUGAACACCUUUACUCCUUAAAACUAAGGGGCUUAUACCGUGGACCAACUAAAGAAUUACAAAGGUCUGGAGGCCUACAACCAAUUCAUCAAAGGCUGGGUUCGUCAUGCGACCUGUCUCCCCACACUGCUAAGGUUAGUGUACCGCGUGAUUAUAGUCAGCGUCGUGCUAAAUUAUGUUGAUUAUACCAAUGAAAGAGGUGUAGAUUAUUAUUUUCAUGUUUGUUACCAAGAGGGAGAGAGAGAGAGAGAGAGAGUUUCGACCGGGGUGAGUCCCAAGUGGAGCCCGCACCUUUUUCUCCACUUCCACGGCUCCAUUUUUAACUUAACUCAGGAAACAGCUAGCGGUGCGGUAACUCGUUUUUGCAAACUUAUUAUAAUAGAACAGAAAAUACAGAUUUUGGAGACAUGCAUUGCAUUCACACGCGAGUAUUGUGUUUGGCUGUUAGAUCGGCUGCGCUAAUACGACACAGCCACAGCUGUCGUCGUUUGGUUGCUAACUGCUCCGUUUUCUCACACUGGUUCUUGAUCACAGCUGGCGGUCGAAAGAAAGACGCUUUACAACACCCGUUUGAGCAACCAAUAACAUAGCGUUGCGCCCCCAUUCAUACGCUUUUCUGAAAUGAUUCCUGCUUAGUUACAUGUGUUUACGUGAAUUCACCAAACCAAGAUGGCGCCCGCGUUCUAAAUCGGAAGGUGUGCGAUGUCUGUCUACAGAGUAAAUAUCGUUAGCUAUGGUAAUUUAAUAUAGCAUAUCACUGCUAGUUAGAGCAAACUGUAACCCUUUCGCAGGUUUCAAACAAACAAGUCCAUUCAGAAGUUUUCGGUGGCCACAACUGACGCCGAGUAACCCAGCACACAGACUUGCUAAUGGUUAGCCACUUAACAGCAAGUGCAAUUUUGAGCCAGCAGCUGCCAAUUCUACACGUACGGUCAUUGAUUUGUACACCAGUCAGCAGGCGAGGCCCCGCCUUAUUAAGCCACACACGCGUUCAAAGUCACAGAUACUACAGCACAGAACGAGAGGAUGGCGAGCCAAGUGGACAAUAAUGAUAGAGGCAGCUCGUAUGCAUAUUUUGCAUUGCUCUUCUGGAUAAAGCUUUAAAAUAUAUUUAGAUUAUAAAAAAUGAUUAUGGCUGCUUCCUUGCAGAUAUUCAUCAAUCGUGGGAAGUUCUAGAACAUAACCCCUGCAAUGAACAAGGAAGUACUGUAUACAUAGUAGUUUCAUAUAAUAAACAAGAAAAGACCACCAAAAUGCAUCUGAUCUGACAUUUUCACACAUCCGGUACCUAAAAGCCAACUCCUACAAAACAAAUAUUCCACCAAAUGGAAAACCUUGUACAUUUGUCCACCAAAUAAAAUAGCGUACCUGCUCAAAUCCGGGAUGGUACGAGCUUCACUUGCCAAAUGCUAACACAACAUAACAGCACAUGAGCCUCAGUGCACACGCACAGACACACAUACACACACUGUCUCUCCUCUUAUGUAAUCCCAUCAAGCGACCAUUCCAGCUUUCAUGCCAGGAAAUGUAAAAAACAAAACAAAAACGGUAACAUUCGAAACAAAAGCAUCAUUGUCAUCGUCAUCAUUCA
Long non-coding RNA from Syngnathoides biaculeatus (alligator pipefish), 2048 nucleotides. RefSeq lists it as uncharacterized. The record is from RefSeq and is a predicted model, not a curated record. The transcript has 3 exons. NCBI's taxonomy places the organism in Eukaryota, Metazoa, Chordata, Actinopteri, Syngnathiformes, Syngnathidae.